UGGGGAAUUUUGGACAAUGGGCGAAAGCCUGAUCCAGCAAUGCCGCGUGUGUGAAGAAGGCCUUCGGGUUGUAAAGCACUUUUGUCCGGAAAGAAAUCCUUGGCUCUAAUACAGUCGGGGGAUGACGGUACCGGAAGAAUAAGCACCGGCUAACUACGUGCCAGCAGCCGCGGUAAUACGUAGGGUGCAAGCGUUAAUCGGAAUUACUGGGCGUAAAGCGUGCGCAGGCGGUUUGCUAAGACCGAUGUGAAAUCCCCGGGCUCAACCUGGGAACUGCAUUGGUGACUGGCAGGCUAGAGUAUGGCAGAGGGGGGUAGAAUUCCACGUGUAGCAGUGAAAUGCGUAGAGAUGUGGAGGAAUACCGAUGGCGAAGGCAGCCCCCUGGGCCAAUACUGACGCUCAUACACGAAAGCGUGGGAGCAAACAGGAUUAGAUACCCUGGUAGUCCACGCCCUAAACGAUGUCAACUAGUUGUUGGGGAUUCAUUUCCUUAGUAACGUAACUAACGCGUG
This 512-nucleotide ribosomal RNA is filed under the name uncultured bacterium. RNAcentral describes it as "partial 16S ribosomal RNA". It matches the Rfam family "Bacterial small subunit ribosomal RNA", at positions 355 to 861 of the family's 1533-position model. The record is from RNAcentral.